UACAGAGGUCUCAAGCGUUGUUCGGAUUCAUUGGGCGUAAAGGGUGCGUAGGCGGCGCGGUAAGUCGGAUGUGAAAUCUCGGAGCUUAACUCCGAAACUGCAUUCGAUACUGCCGUGCUUGAGGACUGGAGAGGAGACUGGAAUUUACGGUGUAGCGGUGAAAUGCGUAGAUAUCUGGAGGAAUACCGGUGGCGAAGGCGGCAUCCUGGACCGGCAUUGACGCUGAGUGAGCGAAAGCCAGGGGAGCAAACGGG
RNAcentral lists this ribosomal RNA (254 nucleotides) under uncultured bacterium. RNAcentral's name for it is "partial 16S ribosomal RNA". It matches the Rfam family "Bacterial small subunit ribosomal RNA", at positions 524 to 776 of the family's 1533-position model. The record is from RNAcentral.